UGCGUAGGCGGGUCUUUAAGUCAGGGGUGAAAUCCUGGAGCUCAACUCCAGAACUGCCUUUGAUACUGAAGAUCUUGAGUUCGGGAGAGGUGAGUGGAACUGCGAGUGUAGAGGUGAAAUUCGUAGAUAUUCGCAAGAACACCAGUGGCGAAGGCGGCUCACUGGCCCGAUACUGACGCUGAGGCACGAAAGGCUGGGAGCAAACA
RNAcentral lists this ribosomal RNA (206 nucleotides) under uncultured bacterium. RNAcentral's name for it is "partial 16S ribosomal RNA". It matches the Rfam family "Bacterial small subunit ribosomal RNA", at positions 568 to 774 of the family's 1533-position model. The record is from RNAcentral.